AAUCUUUUAGCCCUAAAUUACAGCCCUAAAAUCGAGUUGUUAAGGCUCAUUCCAGCAAACGCCAAAUCACCAUUUCAUUCGGUGGCCGACAAUGCACGAGCAGCGACCAGAUUCCACCGACGAAGGCACCAUUCAAGGAAACCUGGUAUGCUAUUUUAUUUUUUAUUUUUUUUAAAAAACCCUAGAUCUAAUACUAUUCAUUCAAGAAAGAUGAAGCCAAAUAUAAAAAACACUUAAUACCAUCCGACCCUCAUCCGUAUCUCAAUAUUUUUGAGAUAUUUGGACUUCAUUGGUGUCAUUUCAAGUAUUUUGUAUGCAGAGGAUUGUAAGUAAUUCGAAAGAAAAAGAAUAAGAAAUCACCUCUUUAAAAUUUCUUUCUAUUCGAUUGCUUUGUAUAUGUUUUUGUGUGCGUAAUAUACGUGUAAAAAAAAGGGAACUUUACGAUCAAAAUCUACAGGGCUUUAUAGCCGAAUAAUCAUAAGAAAAGAUACAACAAUUUUUCUCUCUAUUGGUUGUUGCUCUGUUGCUGUUCUCUUAUUUUCUUUUGCAAGUACGGGGUACGGGGCAUGUGCUGGCACUUGUCGUGAGGCGUAUGGAGGCGCAGGCGUGGCUAUGGCGCCAGGAGGCCGUACGGGGCUUAGCGGCUGGAGGUUACUGUUGCGGCGUAAAAAGGGGGUGACCUAGGGUUUCUGAAACUGUUUUAGUUUUUGGGCCGUUUGGGCCUUGAAUUUUUGGACUAUAAUUGGACUUUUUAUUAUUUGGUUUUUUAAUUAUUUAUUAUUUUGGGAUUUGAUGUAGACCCGGGCAAAUUGGCCCAUGUAUAGCUGCCCCUCUUUGCUCAUUGUCGUGUAACGAGAAUAGAGCAAAGACUAUAAAUGGGCCAAUUUUGCCUGGACCUGCUGGGUCUUGACUUCUUUUGGCGCUUCUUUUCUUCUUCUUCAAAUAAUCUCACUCCAAUCGACUGUAUCUUCAGGGAUAUAGGAAUUGGUUCUUUGACCCACUCCGACGUAAUUUCCACGAUAGGAGAUUUGUGUGUUUUUAUCCUGCUCUACUGCAACUUCAAAGAGAUAAGGAUUGUGACUUCGAUCUGCUCCACUGCAACUUCAGGGAAAUAAGAUCUGCUAACUUCAGUCUGCUCCACUGCAACCUCAGGGAGAUAAGACUUGUAAUUUACAGCCUGUUACCUUACUGCUUAGGGGGUUAAGGUCACCGUCUUCGAUUUGCUCCACUACUACUUAGGAAGACAAGAUCUACAAUCUUUGGCUUGUUACCCUACUACUUAGGGGGUUAAGGCUCACUGUCUUUGAUCUGUUCCACUGCAACUUCAGGGGGACAAGAUCUGUAAUCUUCAGCCUGUUACCCUACUACUUAGAGGGUUAAGGCUUGCUUCUUCAAUUUGCUCCACUACUGUUUAGGGAGACAAGAUCUGCAAUCUUCAGCCUGUUACCCUACUACUUAAGGGGUUAAGGCUUGCUUCUUCGAUCUGCUCCACUACUGCUCAGGGAGGCAAGAUCUGUGAAUUCACUGAUGUUGCUACACCAUCCUCUAAGGGCAUGAUUUGUAGAAUCGGUUUUCUAUACCUAUGCUUAUGCCAAAUAAUUAGGAUGUAAUGAUCAAAAUGAGUCAAAUGCUCCUACUAGAUAAAUGAUUAUGAAUGCAGAAAUGUCGUGAGAAUGAUUUCUUUUUUAAAUGCUUAUGUUAUCAUUGCUCACAGUUCAUCAGGGCUCUAUCAUUGAUGUGCCAUCGUGUCUUCUUGUUUAGCCAGUAUCUUUGACAAAAAAUUUGAAGAAAUAGUCACAAUUUGGACUAUUCUUUUCCAAUGUUUCCAACUUUUGAAUCUGGUUAGUCCUGACUAGUGGCCCUGUUUCAGGUCCUUGUACUAUUUAGAGACCUUCCAGAGUAAUAUGUAUAACUUUUUUUUUUGUGAUUAUAAGUCCAAAAAAUCGUGAUUUCAAAAAAAAUGCUCGAAAGAAACUAUCAUAAUGGACAAGAUGGAAUUUUAUUGAACAAAACUCAAAGUGAAUAAAUUAAACAGGAUAGCAAAUCUGCUAAGGUACAAUAUGAGAUGAGAAAAAGGUGUCCCAAAUAUCGCAGCACGAGCUUCACUAUUCUAACUUCUCAAAGGCCAGUUCAAGUUAAAUAUGUGCUUAGGAGAUCCCGCGUAUUCUGUUGAUGCUCCAAGAUGUACUGUUCAUCCCUCUUGUUAAUUUAGGGAGGACAAAACUACCACAUACCCCAUAUUCAAGAUUUGAGCUGCCCCUUUUCGGGUUUUCAACUCAAAACCCCUUUGGUCUCAAAGUGCCCUUUGCGGGUUUCCACCUUGGCCUUUCUAUUUUUUUUUUGGUUUCAAAGUGCCCUUUGCGGGUUUUUACGUUGGCCUCUCCCUCUUUAGGUAAAAUACUUUUUGACAGAAUCCGAAUUCACGGGAUUGGGCAAGUUUUUACCAUCCAUUUCGGCUAGAAUUAACGCUCCUCCGGAGAAAGCUUUCUCCACUACAUAAGGCCCCUCCCAAUUGGGCAUCCAUUUUCCUCUAAAAUCCUUCUGUAUAGGAAGGAUCUUUUUCAGAACCAGAUCUCUCUCAUGAAACUCUCUUGGGUAGACCUUUUUGUCAUAAGCCCGCAUCAUUCACUUUUUGUACACCUGACCAUGACGGAUAGCUCUUAGCCUCUUUUCUUCAAUCAAGUUCAAUUGAUCGUAUCGAGACUGGAUCCACUCUGUUUCAAAUAACUUUAACUUCGACAAUACUCGAAGGGAUUGGAUCUUGACUUCGAUUGGCAAAACCACUUCCAUUCUGUAGACCAAAGAGAAAGGUGUUGCCCCAGUAGAGGUUCUGACUGAUGUUCGAUAAGCCAAGAAGGCAAAUGGUAACUUCUCAUGCCAAUCUUUGUAGGUCUUAGUCAUCUUCCCCGCAAUCUUCUUAAUGUUUUUAUUGGUUGCUUCCACUGCGCCAUUCAUUUUCGGGUGAUAUAGUGACGAGUUGUGGUGUCUGAUCUUGAAUUGACUGCAGACUUUCGCUAUCGUACUAUUGGUCAAGUUUAAUGCAUUGUCAGAUAUGAUCCUCUCCGAUAUUCCAUAUCAACAUAUGAUCUUUUUUUUUAGAAAUUUGCUCACUGCCGACUUUGUGACAUUGGCAUAUGAAGCGGCUUCUACCCAUUUGGUGAAGUAGUCGAUAACCACAAAGAUGAACCAAUGCCCAUUAGAAGCUUUCGACGAGAUAGGUCCAAUCACAUCCAUACCCCACAUAGAGAAAGGCCAUGGGGAAGUCAUGAAAUGCAGCGGUGAAAGAGUCACAUGAAUUUUGUCUCCAUAGAUUUGGCAUUUAUGACAUCUCUUGGCGUAACUGACACAGUCUCCUUCCAUAGUGGACCAAUAAUACCCAAAUCUCAUAAUUUUCCUGGCCAUUGUAAAGCCAUUAGCGUGUGUCCUACAGACGCCCUCAUAGACUUCUUCUAAGAUUUUCUUAACCUCUACAGCGUCUACGCAUCUUAAUAGCACUUGAUCUUUUCUUCUUUUGUAUAGGAUCUCUCCAUCUAAGACAUAGUCAAUGGCCGAUCUUCUCAGCAUCCUUUUCUCAUUCUCGCUUGCCUGGUCCGAGUACUCACGAUUCCUCACGUAUUGCAAUAUAUCGUGAUACCAAGGGUGAUCAUCUUUUUCUUCAUCUUCUUCAAUAUUGUAACAGUGAGCCGGAGUUUUAUAAAUGCUCAUCCGGAUGGGUUGGACAUCUUCUUGUUUGUUCACUUUGAUCAUGGAAGCUAAGGUGGUCAAAGCAUCGGCCAUCUAAUUUUUGUCCCGUGGAAGGUAGCAGAAGGUAAUGUCAUCGAACUCUUUAACCAAUUCAAGGACCAGUUUCUGAUAAUCGAUCAACUUGGGGUUUUUGGUCUCCCAUUCUCCCUUAAAUUGAUAAAUCACUAACGCAGAAUCUCCGUACACCUCUAGCACUUUAAUCUUGAUUUCUAUGGCUAUGGCUACACGGAUACCCAUGAUGCACGCUUCGUAUUCUGCCAUGUUAUUCGUACAAUCAAAAUCCAAUUUACUAGUAAAUGGAUAGUGAUCUCCAUUUGGAGAUACCAAAACUGCCCCGAUCCCAUUAACCACAGCAUUUGAUGCCCCAUCGAAGUUUAGUUUCCAGAGAAGUUCUUCCAGAGCACCUUCUUCAGUGGUCGCAACACAUAUCAGGUCUUCAUUCGGGAAAUCGAAGUUCAAGGGCUCGUAAUCUUCCAGAGCUCUACUGGCUAGAAAAUCUGCUAUUGCACUCCCUUUUACUACUUUCUGGUUCACAUAGACUAUGUCGAAUUCAGAGAGCAGAAUUUACCAUUAGGCCAUCCUUCCAUUCAAAGCUGUUGACUCCAUCAUGUACUUUAAAGGGUCCAGUUUUGAGAUGAACCUAGUAGUGUGAUACAACAUAUAUUGCCUCAACCUUCGGGUUGUCCAAACCAGGCACAACACAACUUUUCUAUCGGCAGAUAUCUCGUCUCACAUUCAGUGAACUUUUUACUAAGAUAGUAAAUAGCUUUUUCUUUCCUUCCUGACUCAUCAUGCUGACCAAGUACGUAUCCCAUGGAAUUCUCAAAUACUGUCAAAUACAAUAUCAAUGGCUUAUCGGGGUUAGGUGGCAUCAGUACCGGAGCAUUGGAUAAGUACUGUUUGACCUUGUCAAAAGCCCUUUGGCAUUCUUCAUCCCAUACACCUGGGUUAUGUUUCUUGAGGAGGCGGAAAAUAGGAUCACAUUUCUCGGUUAGUUGUGAAAUGAACCAAGCGAUGUAAUUUAAUCUUCCUAGAAAGCCUCGAACCUCUUUCUGGGUAUGCGACGGCGAUAGCUCUUGUAUGGCUUUGACUUUGUCUGGAUCGAUUUCAAUCCCUUUCUCACUAACCACGAAUCCGAGAAGCUUUCCAAACAUGGCUCCGAAGGUAUAUUUGGCUGGAUUGAGUUCUAGCUGAAACUUUCUCAACCUUAAGAACAACUUCCUCAGGACUUGUACAUGCUUCUCCCUAGUUCGGGACUUGGCGAUCAUAUCAUCGACAUAAACUUCAAUUUCUUUGUACAUCAUGUCGUGAAAAAGGGUUACCAUGGCCCUUUGAUAUGUUGCCCCCGCAUUUUUCAGUCCAAAUGGCAUCACCUUGUAGCAGAACGUGCCCCACAUGGUUACAAAUAUGGUCUUCUCCAUAUCUUCAGGAUGCAUUUUGAUCUGGUUAUAUCCGGAGAAACCGUCCAUGAAGGAAAUUAGCGAGUUUCCUGCCGUGUUGUCCACUAGGGUGUCAAUAUAGGCAGUGGGAAAUUAUCUUUCAGGCUGGCUUUAUUCAAAUCUCUGUAGUCUACACACAUUCGUACUUUUCCAUCCUUUUUAGGGACAGGGACGAUGUUGGCUACCCAUUCUGAGUAUUUUACCACCUUUAAAAAUCCAGAGUCAAACUGCUUUCUAACCUCUUCUUUUAUUUUUAGCAAGACGUCGGGCCUCAUUCUUCAGAGCUUUUGCUGAACUGGCUUACAUUUUUCCUUUAUAGGGAGUCGUUGCACCACGAUAUCAGUGUUCAACCUGGGCAUAUCUUGGUAUGACCAUGCGAAGACAUCUUUGAAUUCUUGAAGUAAUUCGAUAAGGUCUCACUUCACUCCAUGGUGAUACAAGUUCCGAUCUUCACCUCUUUCCCCUCUCCUACGCUCACAAUUUCUACUGAUUCUUUGUGAGGUAGGAUUUAUUUCUCGUCAUGUUCUACCAUCCUCAACAAGUCAGGAGAUAGGUUACAGCCUUGGUCAUCUUUGAAAUCUUGAGAAUCCUCCACACACAUAUCCCGCUCAAAAGGAGACUCUGAGCCACUAGUAGUGUCACUCAUAUCAUUGAUAUCUAGGGACCUGUUAUGAGGAUGAAAGAAGAUACAAAGAACCAAAAGAAUUUAAAAAUACUUAUCUGUAUGGUAUGAUUAUGAAUGAAGAACGAAGGAAUGUUUAGAAGAAUGUUCAAAGGACAAAAGAAUCCAAAAGUAAUUAUUUGUAUAAUAUGAUUAUGAAUGAAAUGGAAAGAAUGAAAGAAUAUCUGCUGAAAAUGAUAAUAACUGAGCAUUUUAUUGAAAUAACGUUUUUGAACAUAAGCCUAUUUCUCAAAAGAUUCUUAUUACUCCUAGGCCUGCAACAAUAAGUGUGUUUUGCACAUUACUCUGAGUCAGCUUUAAAAACUACAGGAAUCUCUUCCGCAGUCCAGUUAUCCAAAACACUUCCAGGUAUGUAGAGGUAAAUGCCCGACAAAUUUUCUCCUCCAACCCCUUCUUCGUAUGUGGCGUUGAUGUCUAAGCUUUCCAACCUUUCUUCUGUAGCUUCCUUUCUUGGCGUGCCCCGCUCAGGAUGAAUGAUGCCUCUAGACACAAAAGUUUUUGAUAUGUGGGGGAAUAUCAUUGGCUCCCAUUUGAUUUCCUCCCCCUUCAACCGUGCUCUCAUUCUUUCUUGUUUCUUUUCCAGCUCCAUUUUCCUUUAUCUCGCAUCCGGCUUAAAUCCUAAGCCGAAACGGUCUCUCUUGUCCUUCAAUACUGGCGUUUCAACCCUUCCUUGAAGAUGUCUCCUAAGUCCUCUUCCCGGUAGAGCUCAUUUUCCAACCAUCAACUGUAGACUCAUCCUUGUAGUUUUGGAUAAUUUCGGCGUCAGAAUCCUACUCCCCUCAGUAAUGAAUGUUGCAUUGACAAAUUCCAAAGAUCGAAAUGAGCAUUUGAUUGCUUCGCCAUCUGUCUCCAAAUAGGGUACAUCACUGCUUACAGCUGCAAUGAUAUCCUCUUCAGCAUUUAUCGUUAUCAACCGCCCCUCUGAUACUAAUUUCAACUUUUGAUGCAACGAUGAAGGCACUGCCCCAGCUGAAUGUAUCCAGGGCCUUCCCAAUAAGCAGUUGUAUGAAGGCUUGAUAUCCAUCAAUAGGAAAUCCACCUCAUAUAUGUUUGGCCCGACCAGAAGAGGUAUCUCAAUUCUGCCCAUCUCCCUUCUCUCCGUACCAUCGAAUGCCUUCACUAUAUUUUGGCACUCUUUCAUGUGAGAGCUGUCUACAGGUAAUCUGCUUAGUGUGGACAAUGGUAGGAUGUUCAAGGUUGACCCAUUGUCAAUUAGUACUCCUGGUAGCGUAUAUCCCUUACAACGCAUGGUGAUAUGUAAAGCUUUCGUCGACCCCCUGCCACUGGGUGGUAUCUCGUCGUCAUUGAAGAAGAUAAAGUUAUCGACACUUAUGUUGUUAACCAAGCGGUCCAGCUUAUUGACUGAGAUAUCAUUGGCAACAUAUGUUUCAUUCAAAACUUUUAUCAGCGCGCUGCGAUGAACUUCCGAACUUAAAAGUAAGGCUAGCACUGAGAUACGAGCUGGUUGUUUAUGCAGUUGUUCCACAACGCUAUAUUCACUGUGCUUUAGAAACUUCAAAAACUCCUUAGCCUCCUCUUCGUUGACCGACUCAUUAAUAAGAAGUUCAGAUUUGGUCGUUUUUUCCUUCUUUUGUUCGACCACUAUGGCUUUUUCUUUUGAAAGUUCUGCCUUAUCACUUGCUGAAUCGUAGCGUCUCUCGUUACGUGUGUAGGAGCCCCUAUCUUGGUCAUCUUCUGAAGUGUCAACUAGGUUCUCUUUUCCUGGGAUCGUCACGUUACAGUCAUAAUUCUAUGAGACCCUCUUACUGUCUUUAUAGGGGAGGAUUGUAGGUCUUUAGAUUAUGACUUUCUGUGGCAUUUGCACUCUUGCUUCAUUACUUUUGGGUCGUGAUAUGAUGACCACGGGGUAGUUAACUGUUUGGUUCUACGCCGUCGAUUCUCCCUCUGACGCGCAUAUAUCUCCCUCUCCGGGGUUUUCGGUUUCUUCAUAAAAAUUCAUUUCUCUAUUAUUUAUCAUGUCCUGUACGAGGGCCCUUGAAUUUCAUGCCCCACCUCGUUGUGAAACUCACAAUAGUUCCUCUCUUCUUCAGAUUCUUCUCUUGAAUCUAACACGAUUAAUCCUCUCUUGACCAUCUCCUUCAACACCCGUCUCAAUGGGGUCCUGACCUCUGCAAACUCAUACUUGAUCUUUUUGCUUCCGCCUUCACUUAUCCCGUUUACUCCUUGGUCAAUAUGAUUGGGGAGCGGGUUUCCUGCUACAUUAGGUACGGAUGGGUCAUCAAACCUUAUAAUCCCUAUUUUAAUGAGUCUUUCAACUAGCUUCUUGAACGCGGUGCAGUUUUCGAUCGAAUGCCUGGUGAUUCCCACAUGGUAUUCGCAUUGGGCGUUUGUGACAUACCAUUUGGAAAACGGGGAUUGCAGUGGCUUCAGGUAGAAAGGGGACAUUACAUGAGCGUUGAAUAGGUUCUGGUACAGCUCCCUAUACGUCAUGGGUAUAGGGGUGAACUGUGGCCUUUCUGUGUUCUCCCUCGUGUUGGAUUCUUGUCUCACAGUGCUAUGUUGAUUGGCGGUCACCGUCUUUGGUUGGUUUACAGUGAGUGACUUGGACUGACCCUUACUAAAUGUGCUCAUGUUGUUCACUUCGUUAUCUCUUUUCCUCAGGGCCGAUCUUUUGGUACUUUCUCUGACUUCUAUUUUACUGCUCCUCACAGCAUUUUCAAUCAUUUCACCUGUCAUCACUAUGUCUGAGAAGCUUUUGGUGACACUCCCCAACAUAUGAAUGAUAAAAGGAGCCUUCAAAGUGUUGAUAAAGAGUAUUGUGGUUUCUUUUUCUAGAAGCGGAGCUGAACUUGUAUGGCAACUUCUCUCCAUCUUUGCGCAUACUGUCUGAACUUUCAUUUGGUUUCUUCUUCAUAUUCUGGAGAGUGAUCCUGUCAGGAGUCAUGUCUGUCACAUGACUAUACUAUUUCAUAAAGGCUUGAGCUAGGUCUUUCCAUGAGUUAAUCUUAGCAUGGCUCAAUUGGUUAUACCAAUUAAAUGCCACCCCAACCAGACUGUCCUGAAAGCAAUGAAUUAAUAGCUGGUCAUUGUUGACGUAUCCCGUCAUUCGCCUGCAAAACAUAGUGAUAUGAGCUUCAGGGUAGCUCGUUCAAUUGUACUUCUCAAAUUCAGGCAUUUUGAACUUAGGGGGAAGGACCAAGUCUUGGACCAAACUCAGGUCCUUAGCAUCAAUCCCGUGAUGACUAUCAGUGCUUUCCAUAGCUCUGAAUUCUUCCUCCACUGAUUUACACCGUUCUUCCAAUUGUUUUUGCGAUUCUAUCCUUACCUUUUCCUCUUCUGCGACUUCAUCCAAAUCGGGAACGAGUGGAUAAUUUGAGUUAUUAAUAGGGUUAGAGCUUGAGCCAGCUUGGAAAUUUAUUGGUAUCGCAGCUCCAGCCUGAAUUUGCUGAGGCCUGAUCGUAACAGAUGGUCUUUGCAGAUUAAUCUCAGGUUGUGUCAGUAUAUAUGUUGGAAUGAAGCCAAGAGGAUAUUGAGGGUCUUCAUUAUUUUCCCCAACAUUGUCCAUGGGACCUUUUCUUUUAUCCAUUCUUCCCAUCAGCAACUGGGAUAACUAACUCAUCAUCUCUCUUUGGGAUUCCAUCAUUUACUCUUUCAUCUCUCUCUGAAUCUUGGCUAGCUGAUUUUGCAUCUGUGACUACAUCUGUUCCUGCAUGUCCUUUUACAUUUGCUCCAAUUUCUUAAGUCUUUUAUCUAUUAACUUGGUCUUUUUUCUUGUACCGUAGGGGUGCGUAGUUGGUUGGUUUUUGUUGGUUUCCAGAUUACUAAAAUGAUUUUUAAUUAAUUAGAAACUUUUUAUGACCUUUAAUACAUAUGAUGUAAUGCAAUGCAAAUGCAUGAAUGCAAAGGACGCAUCAAUUUUGAUUCAAUUCCUUUUAGAAAACUUCACUAGAAAAUAAAAUUCGAUCUAACUCUAACUCAUACUUCACGCUCAAUAUGUCUGCUUGUACCGCUAAAGCUUGCAAGUAAUCGGCUACCUCCCAAAUCUGGGUUAUAGCUUCCCCCAUAAUGUAAUCCCUGUUUCUAACUUGGUCCUGCGCAUAGUGAAGCUGCUCCUUCCAACGCUUCUCACUUGCCUUGAAAAAUUGAAUCCGCAUCUCACAAUUUUGUAGUGACGCUUCUAAUUCUUCUACUUUUCCUUUCAUUUCUUCCACCUUACUCAAGCUUGCCCUCAACUCCAUUACAGUAUUACGGCUUAAGUAUUGAUGAAGAGACUUCUCAAGUUCUGUCACUCUAGCCCUUAAUUCAUCUAGUUCAUUUCUACUUUCUGACAGACUCUUCUCUAAAUCCUCAUUUCGUGCCUGAGCCUUUCAAAAUUUCCUUUCCCAUCAGUUGGCUUUGGUCUUUUCCUCUCGAAUUUCAUGGAGCCAUUGUUCGGAAGUUUUACCUAACCCCGCAGUCCUCAUAGACAGGCGUAACUUCUUAUAAUCUAUCUUCAAACUGUCUAGAUAUUCUUCAACCUUAGUUUUCCCUUUUCUCCACUUCUCAGCCUCUGAUCUCUGAAUGUCUACAUCUAAUCUCAGAUGCAUCUUUUCUUCCUCCAAUUGUUCGAUCUUUUUCCCAAGCUCAGAACUCUUUUUCUCGAAGUCUUGCUUUAUAAUUUCUAACUCUGACGGGGCGAUUUGUAAUUGUUCCACCAUAGGUCGAGCAUCUUCCAAGCUUGGCCUAGGAACAUUAUCAUUGACCCUCUUCCUAAACCAUCCAUUAUAUUCAGGAGUCACCAUAGAACCAAUAGCCAACCUCUUCAUCCAGCGAAUUUGCUUCCAAGCAUCCGAUAGCUCCCGAACUUUCUUCUUAUAGUGGUCACCUUUAAAGGAGAAUUCACACUGAGCAAACCCGUAAGUCGUAGGUACAAACUACCUCAAUUUAUAUUGCCUUAAUGCAAGCAAUGGAGUAUACCCAGUAGCUCCCCAAAUUCCUAACAAAGGCACCCAAUCAAAGUUCUCACAUUGAUACAGGAUCUCAUCGGGAACCAUCCAAAAUGCUCUCCGCUCUAUAUCCCUUCCUUGAGGUUUUGAAGAAUUUCCAUCCACUUCUCCUCUGAAAUAUCCUCACUCUUUUGUAUGGAUGCCUCCUCUUUUAGCUGGGAAUAACCUUCAGAAAACACCCAAUAAGAAACCUUGUCCACUUUCCAAAAGUGCCCAUGAAAGCACACCAUCAACAGCUGUGCGCACUCGAUAAACCGCCCCUCGCCUGUCUUCCGACACAUGCUCAAGGAUCUGAACGUCUCAUCCAAUAUUGCAGGUAUAGGUGUGAUUCCCUUCUCGAGACGAUCAAGUAAGUCAGUGACCGCCUCAUCCACGUGCCUUAAAGCCUUAGGAAAAAUUAUCAAUCUAUAGAUGCUUAAAGCGAAGAUAUUGACCCCUCUUUCUUUCAUCCUAAUAUGUUAAAACCAACUCUCUCAAAUUCUCCUAAAGGAUACAUUUACUAUCUCCCUUUUGUUGAAUCCGAGCAGUGACCCAAGGCUCGCUCAUCCCUAAAAUGUUCAUCAAUUUCUUCACGAAAGUCUGACCAUUAAAGACCUUGGCAUAAGCUCUUCUAACUUGAACUUUCGGACACCUGAGCAAAGUAGUAUAUUCCUCCACGGUAGGUACUAAAUCCACUUCCCCAAAAGUGAAACACUUGUAAGCAGAAUUCCAAAAUUGCACCAUAACUCGGAACAGAUGCUUGUCCACCAUAAUAUCUAGCAAGUAGGAUAUAUCACCAUAGCUUUGAUAGAACAAUUAUUUGGUCCCUUCACCCUAACGAGCCCAUAUAUCUCUCAACUCUUGCAACUAAUUCUGUGCUACAUUAACGCGAUUGAAUUCCUGCAACUCCGAUGUAUAUCCUUCUGCCAAGCUAUCCCCUUUCUCCGAUUGUAACUUUUCUGACCAUGCGCGGACGGCUGCAUUAUCCUCAACUUUAUUAAGAAAUUCAUUCUCCAUGUCAAACUUUCUAACUUAGAAAUCGAAUACAAAUCAACACCUCCUUUAGUAUGCAAUGUCAUGCAAAACACAAUCAAAACAAAACACAAGUUAGUAUCAAAUAAUAGUGAUAAAAUACAUGCACAUAAAAGAUAAUUAUAACACAUAUAUAAGCAAAUACUAAGGCUUGAUGCGGCUCCACCCAAGGAUAACUCUUAAGGUUUACUAUAUGUGGUUCGGUUCUUGAGAUAAGGUACCUGAACCAGCAGAUUCCUCAAUCCUCACCCAUUAUAGGCUCAUAUGGAUUAAGUUUGAUUCAGGGGAAUACAUUUCCCUAUGACCAUGAGAGAUGAAAAUCUCACGAAAUCAUAAGUACGGAUGUAUCCCGGAAGCAAUCCACUAGCCCAUGCGGAGGUGAUAACCUCACGAAAGCAUAGUUUCUUACUCCCACUUAGAAGGUGUGACCACAGCGAUCAUGCAAUGAAAUGCAGUAUUAUUCUAAAAGCCCGAACCAUAACAAUCAUACAAACAAAUGCAAUCAUGAUAAAACAUAUUUCGAUACUUCGACAAAAGGACAACAAAUAAUCGAUUUUAUGGCUCGACUCUUAAGGUCCCCAGCGGAGUCGCCAAGCUCUCGAAACCAUUUUUAAAUUUUAAGAAAAACAAAACGGGAUCAACUUUUUGAAAACGAAAAUGUGGAGUCGCCAACAAUCCUUUUUGUUUAGGUGUGAUUGGAUCACCUAAUAAAGUAUUUUAUUCCAUUUAAAUCAAUUUUGGCCUACGUAAAUUUGAGAAAACGAGUUCGGGAGUCGGUUACGUAUGAGGAAGGAUUAGCACCCUCACUACGCCCAAAAUCGGUACCAAAUUGAUUAAGUAUUGUCCUUAUAUCUAAAUUUUACAGCUGUUUUUGAAAUAUGGUUCCUUUUGAAGCAUUUGAGUGGCUCAAGUUGGUUGUCAAAAUUCUCUUGUUUCAGAGGAACGCAGCAUCACAUCCAGCACGAUAGGACACGAUCCUUUAUAUCCUCGAAAACAAAGAUAAAUUUUGACUUCCGAAAGUUUAUACGUUGAAAAUUACAAAAGGAUACCCAAUUAUUUAGUCCAACGAAAAAUUGAAACCCAACAAGGUAGAGCACGAUUCCCCGAAUUUCCAAACAUUGAACAUUGCCUUGUUUUAGAAUAUAGAAAACAUGAGUGAAAUUCUAAAGGAAUAUUCGAUUAUUUUGAGAAAAUGGGAAAUUGCAACCCAACACGAUGGGGCACGAUUCCCCGAAUUGCCAAACAUCGAACAUUUCCUUCGUUUUGAAGAAUUUUCAAAGACAUGAGUGAAAUUCCAAAGGAAUAUUCGAUUAUUUUGAACAAACGGGAAAUUGUAACCCAGCACGGUAGGGCACGAUUCCCCGAAUUUCCAAACAUCGAACAUUGCCUUCGUUUUAAAAAAUUUUUGAAUGAAUAGUUAUAAAACUAGCUUAAAACGCAUUGAUUUUACUUGAAGUAAAACGAAAUUAAUCUUAAAGAUUUGGACCUUAUAAGACCACAUUUCGUAAACCAAGUGGAAAACAAUGAUAUGGGAUAAUAUACACACAUAAGAUACUAUACUUGAUAAAUGAGGGUAAUGUAUCUUAUUUAAUCAACUAACAAAAUAAAUAAUUAAAUAUAAUUAACCUAAAAAUAUGACCCAAUUUCAAUCAUGCAUAAAAAAUAAUUGAUAUAGUAAUACAAAACGAAAAUAAUAUGCCACAAUAAGAUACAUAGCCUAGUACAUUACAAACAAUACAAAAUAUUCAAAAUAAAAUGAUAAUAAAAAAGACUAUGGUAUAAGACAAAUUUAGAAUAACGAUAAACAUGCAACAUAUAAUAUAUGAAUUGGUGAAACUUAAAAAAAAACUAGAGAUAUAUAUAUGUAAUUAUUUAAAUAAGUGUUAUAGAAUGAAUAUUUUUGAGUCAAAUAAUAUACAAAGAAAACAUUUGUUAAAAUACAUACGAUAAAAGAAAAUUUAAUAGUAUAUAAAAUAUAAAAGGAUAGCAAGAAUACAUAAUAAAAUAUAAUUCUAGGAAAUACACAUAAUAGGUUUACAAAACAUAUAUGCAUAUAAAUUGAUUUAAGAAUAAUUAUUUAUAAAAAUGGCAUGAAAUUAAUAAUGCAUACAAAAUUAAAUUAACCUAUAAAUUAUAUAUAGUACAUAAAAGCAUUUAAAUGAGAUACUAUAAAAAUAUUAGGAUAAUAUAAUAUAAAGAAGAGUUUCAAAAUAAUAAUUGGCAAACAUAAAAACGAAGCUCCUAAAAUAACUUUAUAUACAUAAGAGCAUUAAGUAAAUUUUAAAACAAUAAGUAUUUAAAAUAGAAAAUUCCACCGAAAUAAUGUAUGUACAAAUAUACACAAUAACAUUUAAAUGAGAUACCAUACAGAGUGUUAUGCAAAUAACAUGAUAAAACAAACUUCAAAACCCUUAUACAAAUAAAAAACCUAAUUAAAAUAAAUUUAAAAUGAAUGGGGAUGAUGCAUAAAUUUUUGAAAUUGGACUAAGGACUAACGCAUAAUGCGCAUAAAUUCCAAGGAACUAAAGUUGGAAAUAAUCCUGGCACUAAAGCGCAGGGCUUGAGAGUGGGCUGAAUUGAUGCGAUAUCCUAAUUCCAGGUGCCAUUUAAAAACAAAUAAAGUAUGAAUAGGGCCAGAUUCAGAAUCAGCGCGAAGGAGAAGGGCCACGCGCGCAAAUUUCCUAAUUUAAGCAAAGGCACCCGGAUCCGGCCUGCUAAGCGGGUCAACGCGCGGGUCUUGCCUUCUUGAAAUGGCACUGUUUUUGACACAGCCCUUAAACUCCCCAUUUCCAUUUAUUUCUCUUCCAAAACACAACCAAUCUUUUAGCCCUAAAUUACAGCCCUAAAAUCGACUUGAUAUGGCUCAUUCUAGCAAACGCCGAAUCACCAUUUCAUUCGGUGGCCGACAAUGCACGAGCAGCGACCAGAUUCCACCGACGAAGGCACCAUUCAAGGAAACCUGGUAUGCUAUUUUAUUUUUUCUUUCUUUUUUUUUUUAAAAAAAACCCUAGAUCUAAUACUGUUCAUUCAAGAAAGAUGAAGCCAAAUAUAAAAAACACUUAAUACCAUCCGACCCUCGUCCAUAUCUCAAUAUUUUUGAGAUAUUUGGGACUUCAUUGGUGUCGUUUCGAGUAUUUUGUAUGCAGAGGAUUGUAAGUAAUUCGAAAGAAAAAGAAAAAGAACAAGAAAUCACCUCUUUAAAAUUUCUUUCUAUUCAAUUGCUUUGUAUAUGUUGUUAUGUGAAUAAUAUGCAUGUAAAAAAAAAGGGAACUUUACAAUCAAAAUCCAUAGGGCUUUAUAAGUGAAUAAUCAUAAGAAAAGAUACAACAAUUUUUCUCUCUAUUGGCUGUUGCUCUGCUGCUGUUCUCUUGUUUUCUUUUGCAGGUACGGGGUACAGGGCGUGUGAUGGCACUUGGUGUGAGGCGUACGGAGGAGUGGGCGUGGCUGUGGCGCCAGGAGGCCGUACGAGGCUUGGAGGCUAGAGGUUACUGUUGCGGCGCAAGAGGGGGUGACCUAGGGUUUCUGAAACUGUUUUAGUUUUUGGGCCGUUUGGGCCUUGAAUUUUUGGACUGUAAUUGGACUUUUUAUUAUUAGGUUUUUUUUAAUUAUUUUUUAUUUUGGGCUUUGAUGUAGACUCGGGAAAAUUGGCCCGUUUACACAUAUUUUAGACUAGAAUGUCAUGUCAGACACAUAUCCUACCCCCAUCCGUUACACACGAACUCCAUCCAACCAAUCACACCAAUUAGGACUAAAAAGGUUCAUCCAUCCAAUCACACCGGGUCGUGGUGG
RNAcentral lists this long non-coding RNA (15611 nucleotides) under Gossypium barbadense (sea-island cotton). RNAcentral describes it as "long non-coding RNA (GBAR_LNC008306)". The record is from RNAcentral. Lineage: Eukaryota; Viridiplantae; Streptophyta; Magnoliopsida; Malvales; Malvaceae.